RNAcentral lists this long non-coding RNA (935 nucleotides) under Olea europaea subsp. europaea. Lineage: Eukaryota; Viridiplantae; Streptophyta; Magnoliopsida; Lamiales; Oleaceae. The record is from RNAcentral.
CGAUCACAUGUUAUAUGUCAUACCCUUACCCAAGUUAAAGAGCUUGAUGAUGUCACCAGUCACCCUUGAAAAAUUCAGUCGCCUGUGGUUAACACUAAAGCAAAAUUAUCCACCACUGACCAACCUCAAAUUGAUGGUCAAAACAAAAGUGCUAAUCAAAAUCCUGACAAUUUAUUACAGUCUCUAGUCCGGAAAAAUCUUGGGAAUUGGAACUUCAUCUCUCCAACUGUUCAAAUUGCAUAUAACGAUCCUGUGAACUGGUCUUUAGGUCUAAACCCCUUUGAAAUUAUUUUUGGUUGUGAACCUUUGAAACCUCUAGACCUUAUUCCCAUGCACCCACAUGCUUGUGUGUCUAUGUCAGUUGAGGUAGUCGUAUCACAUUUUCAUAGCUUGCAUAUUGAGAUCAGUGGAUAAUUUGAAGCAAGUAAAGAUUACAUAAACCUCAAGUUGAUUGGCAUAAACAACACUUUGAAUUUAAUAUUGGGGAUUAUGUUAUAUUGCAAGCGUGUAAUGCUGGUCGUUUUAAAAUUUCAAAGCAUGUUGGUCAAAAUACCUAUGUCAAUGACCUUUUAUCACAUUAUGACCACCACCCUAUGUUAUUUGUUACGGACUUCGAUGCUUACAACGGCUAUUUUAACCCCUCUGAUGACCCGUUUCUACUCUCACAUGAGAAUUCCCACACUGAAUCUUUUGCCAUGUCUGCUUCAAUCCCAUCUAUCACAGCACACAAAAAUAAAAUUGAUGUUAUUUUGGAUGAACAGCUUGUGUUGACCAAUGAUUGAGAGAUUUAGUGCUUUCUUGUUCGUUGGAUGGAUCGUCUUGAUUCUGACGGUACAUGGAUUCCCAAAGAGAGACUUCAGCGGCGGGAGCCAAAUUCAUUGGAGCUUUAUAAGAGUCGGCAAAAUUCUCAUUCGCCUAAGUUAUCUUGGUCAGCU